UAGUUUCACUGUAUAACUUGAAAGAACGC
This 29-nucleotide non-coding RNA is filed under the name Bombyx mori (domestic silkworm). Lineage: Eukaryota; Metazoa; Arthropoda; Insecta; Lepidoptera; Bombycidae. The record is from RNAcentral.